Molecule: ribosomal RNA, 352 nt
Filed under: uncultured bacterium
Lineage: Bacteria
Description: bacterial SSU rRNA
Rfam family: Bacterial small subunit ribosomal RNA
Source: RNAcentral
CAAUGGGCGAAAGCCUGAUCCAGCCAUGCCGCGUGAGUGAUGAAGGCCCUAGGGUUGUAAAGCUCUUUUGUGCGGGAAGAUAAUGACGGUACCGCAAGAAUAAGCCCCGGCUAACUUCGUGCCAGCAGCCGCGGUAAUACGAAGGGGGCUAGCGUUGCUCGGAAUCACUGGGCGUAAAGGGUGCGUAGGCGGGUUUCUAAGUCAGUGGUGAAAUCUCCGAGCUUAACUUGGAAAAUGCCGUUGAUACUAUAGGUCUUGAAUUAUCUGGACGUAAGCUGAAUAUGUCAUGUAGCGGUGAAAUGCUUAGAUAUGACAUAGAACACCAAUUGCGAAGGCAGCUUACUACAUAUAA